This 458-nucleotide ribosomal RNA is filed under the name uncultured bacterium. RNAcentral describes it as "partial 16S ribosomal RNA". It matches the Rfam family "Bacterial small subunit ribosomal RNA", at positions 338 to 795 of the family's 1533-position model. The record is from RNAcentral.
CCUACGGGAGACAGCAGUGAGGAAUAUUGGUCAAUGGGCGAGAGCCUGAACCAGCCAAGUCGCGUGAGGGAGUACUGCCCUAUGGGUUGUAAACCUCUUUUGUCGGGGAGCAAAAGCCGGACGUGUCCGGCUGUGAGAGUACCCGAAGAGAAAGCAUCGGCUAACUCCGUGCCAGCAGCCGCGGUAAUACGGAGGAUGCGAGCGUUAUCCGGAUUUAUGGGGUUAAAAGGGUGCGCAGGCGGAUUUUUAAGUCAGCGGUCAAAUCGUGGGGCUCAACCCCAUCCAGCCGUUGAAACUGGGGAUCUAGAGUGUGCGAGAGGUAUGCGGAAUGCGUGGUGUAGCGGUGAAAUGCAUAGAUAUCACGCAGAACCCCGAUUGCGAAGGCAGCAUACCGGUGCACAACUGACGCUCAGGCACGAAAGCGUGGGUAUCGAACAGGAUUAGAUACCCUUGUAGUC